Molecule: ribosomal RNA, 253 nt
Filed under: uncultured bacterium
Lineage: Bacteria
Description: partial 16S ribosomal RNA
Rfam family: Bacterial small subunit ribosomal RNA
Source: RNAcentral
UACGGAGGGAGCUAGCGUUGUUCGGAAUUACUGGGCGUAAAGCGCGCGUAGGCGGCUUUGUAAGUUAGAGGUGAAAGCCCGGGGCUCAACCCCGGAAUUGCCUUUAAGACUGCAUCGCUUGAAUCCGGGAGAGGUGAGUGGAAUUCCGAGUGUAGAGGUGAAAUUCGUAGAUAUCGGGAGGAACACCGGUGGCGAAGGCGGCGAUCUGGGUCGAUACUGACGCUGAGGUGCGAAAGCGUGGGGAGCAAACAGG